UGGGCUGCGAAAUUAUACCAGUGGCUUGUGGUUGCAUACCAGCAACUUGAUAACCAUAGUUUACGGGCUGCUGUGGCAUAGCCCCAGUCUUCUGAACUUGUACACCAGUCAUUUGUGGCAUAACUCCAGUCAUUUGUGGCACAACUCCAGUCAUCUGUGGCAUAACUCCAGUCACCUGAGGCAUAACUCCAGUCAUGUGGGGUUGUAAGCCAGUGGGCUGUACCAUUAAAGGUUGAUAACCAGUGGCCUGAACAGGAAUUGGUUGCAUAUAUCCUGUAGGUUGGAUAGGAAGUGCGCUAGGAGGAGGUUGAAAUCCAGUUGGCUGUACAUACAAAGGAGAUUGAAAUGGAUCGGCAGCCAUGGGUUGAGGAGCAGUGAAAUAUGCAUUUUGAA
This is a non-coding RNA of Schizosaccharomyces pombe (fission yeast), 393 nucleotides long. Lineage: Eukaryota; Fungi; Ascomycota; Schizosaccharomycetes; Schizosaccharomycetales; Schizosaccharomycetaceae. The record is from the annotation of a GenBank genome assembly.